This is a long non-coding RNA of Stegodyphus dumicola, 480 nucleotides long. NCBI's taxonomy places the organism in Eukaryota, Metazoa, Arthropoda, Arachnida, Araneae, Eresidae. The record is from RefSeq and is a predicted model, not a curated record.
UAAGAAGCCAGACUUUCCAGGCUGCAAGGUGCGAUUAUUUUUAGUACAUAUUUUUAGUACAAAACGAAAUAAGUAUACUGUUUAAAGAAAUGGGAACCUUGCACUUAGAUAUCAUGCAUUCACAGCAACAGUUGUGGAACAGCGCCAUUUUUAUUGUUUGCAAGUUUUCUACAGAGUUUCUAGUUUCAUGGAAGGUGGUAAAAUCCAAAGCUGCAUCGUAAACGUGCUUGAUGAAAGGGUGCCUGGAUCGAAAUAGCUGAAAGGAAAAAAUAUUUAUAGUGCGCAACCGGUAAAGCCUCGUUUUACGUUUACUGAUCUUUAGAGGAAUGCUGUUAUCCCAAGGUAAAAUUGUUUUCGAAUGAUAGCACCUACCCGGGAAUUGCAUGAUGCUGAAACGUUUAGAAGAGGCUAUAAAUGCCAAAGAAAAAGGAUAAAAAAAAUGAAAGCUGAAAUCAUUUAAAAAUUUACAAUACUUAUAGA